GAUGAACGCUAGCUACAGGCUUAACACAUGCAAGUCGAGGGGAAACGAUAUUGGAAGCUUGCUUCCGAUAUGCGUCGACCGGCGCACGGGUGAGUAACGCGUAUCCAACCUGCCCACCACUUGGGGAUAACCUUGCGAAAGUAAGACUAAUACCCAAUGAUAUCUCUAGAAGACAUCUGAAGGGGAUUAAAGAUUUAUCGGUGAUGAAUGGGGAUGCGUCUGAUUAGCUUGUUGGCGGGGUAACGGCCCACCAAGGCUACGAUCAGUAGGGGUUCUGGGAGGAAGGUCCCCCACAUUGGAACUGAGACACGGUCCAAACUCCUACGGGAGGCAGCAGUGAGGAAUAUUGGUCAAUGGGCGAGAGCCUGAACCAGCCAAGUGGCGUGCAGGAUGACGGCCCUAUGGGUUGUAAACUGCUUUUAUAAGGGAAUAAAGUGAGUCUCGUGAGACUUUUUGCAUGUACCUUAUGAAUAAGGACCGGCUAAUUCCGUGCCAGCCGCCGCCGUAA
Molecule: ribosomal RNA, 508 nt
Filed under: uncultured bacterium
Lineage: Bacteria
Description: partial 16S ribosomal RNA
Rfam family: Bacterial small subunit ribosomal RNA
Source: RNAcentral